AUGGCAACAGAAAUCAAAAAACACAAAGACGUAAUUAUUCUAGAGAGAGGAGGGAGACUCAAGAAAUUCGUGAAGUAGAUCGACGGUCCUUCAUCGCAAUUCACGAUUCGCAAUUCAAAAUUCGCAGUUCGCAAUACGCAGUCACUGGUUCUAGGGUUUAGAGGAUCUGCAAUUCGCAAGCAGAGGGUUUAAAAGGUCUGCAACAUCACCAAGAAGAAGGUAGGGGACGACGAAGGAAGGAGACAGAUCCCAUUCAAACUCUACUCCCGUACAACAUAUUCACAAACUCUCGCAAGGUUGAAAGAUUGAAUGGAGCAAUGUCUCAGAUAUAUCUGAAGCUACAGAUUGGAAAGAGAUGCUUUGCCUCUUUAACGUUGAGGCAGAAUUUCAAGUCUAGCAUUGAUAGAGAUCCUACAUUUAAUGAGGAGCAUGCGGAGCUAAACGGAGAAGAAAUAUAGAUCUAGCAAAUGAGACGGUGGAAGCUCUUAUUUGUUUUUGCAUCAUUUUGUGAUUUCUAGUAAUGUUAAGUUUGUUUUUUAUGGAUAUUAAUUAUGUCAUUAGAAACACUUAGUGAACAACUAUUUUGUAA
Molecule: long non-coding RNA, 589 nt
Organism: Spinacia oleracea (spinach)
Lineage: Eukaryota; Viridiplantae; Streptophyta; Magnoliopsida; Caryophyllales; Amaranthaceae
Exons: 4
Source: RefSeq, a predicted model, not a curated record